UACAGAGGUCCCAAGCGUUGUUCGGAUUCACUGGGCGUAAAGGGUGCGUAGGUGGUGAGGUCAGUCGGAUGUGAAAUCUCCGAGCUCAACUCGGAAAUGGCAUUGGAAACUACCUUGCUCGAGGGUUGGAGGGGGGACUGGAAUGCUUGGUGUAGCAGUGAAAUGCGUAGAUAUCAAGCGGAACACCAGUGGCGAAGGCGAGUCCCUGGACAACUCCUGACACUGAGGCACGAAAGCUAGGGGAGCAAACAGG
RNAcentral lists this ribosomal RNA (253 nucleotides) under uncultured bacterium. RNAcentral's name for it is "partial 16S ribosomal RNA". It matches the Rfam family "Bacterial small subunit ribosomal RNA", at positions 524 to 776 of the family's 1533-position model. The record is from RNAcentral.